RNAcentral lists this transfer RNA (61 nucleotides) under Membranacea stenoprocessa. Its description in RNAcentral is "tRNA-Cys". The record is from RNAcentral. Lineage: Eukaryota; Metazoa; Arthropoda; Insecta; Hemiptera; Cicadellidae.
AGUUUUAUAGUUUAAUUAAAACAUUAAAUUGCAAAUUUAAAAUUGAAAAUAUCUAAGACUU